GGUGGGAGGGUCGCUUGAGCCCAGGAGUUUGAGGCUGCAGUGAGCUGUGAUCGCACCACUGCACUCCAGCCUGAGUGACAGAGCAAGACCCUGU
This 94-nucleotide microRNA precursor is filed under the name Microcebus murinus (gray mouse lemur). RNAcentral describes it as "miRNA (ENSMICG00000045676.1)". The record is from RNAcentral. Lineage: Eukaryota; Metazoa; Chordata; Mammalia; Primates; Cheirogaleidae.